CUCUGCGCUCUCGGCAAACACCUCAACACUCGCUCUUCAAGUGCAGCUAACUCGAUUGACAUCACCCGACUACACGUCGCGUUUUCUGCUGAUCCCGUAAUGCGAGUGCAUGCGUUUUAUAACGUUAUAUUAGAGCUAAUGGCCAGGCUGGGCGGCGAGACAAGGCUCUCUGUGUCUUUUAAGGACAAUCUCAUGGUGUGUUUAGAGGUUAGAGAGAGUUCAGGGGUUACUGUGACAAAGCGAGUCUGAGCCGGAUAGAGACCGAAACGAACACACACACGCAACCGAAUACCCUCUGGCUGCCAAAGACUCAAUGAUGACAUUGUCAGUCACCCGUCUGUGUUUAUUAUGUCAGGGUUUAUUAUGUCUCCAUGUCACAGGGACACUUCGGACUGAGUAAGAGCAACAAAUCAGUCAUUAAAACCACUAAUAGAUGCUAAGCAGCCGGACUGCUGUUUAAAGGCUGGGAAUAAACGCUAAUGAGUUUACCAGCGGUGAAUCAAACCACACAGGUCUGCUGAGGACACAAGCCACCAUCCUUCAAUCCUCCUGACCUCCAACCUGCCUGACUGGAACCCACCAGCAGCUCUUAUCCAGCAGCCAUCACUGAACACUAAGGAGUGGCAUGUACCGUAUACACCACUCGUUCUGGCUAGAAACACUGGAUUUUUUUUAUAAUCUCAAGAACAGGACGCCGAACAAAAGCAAAUGCUCUGCAUGACCGUCCACAUCAGUUACACAAAUCAAUACAAGCUCAGGUAGGGUUUACGUGCAUCAAUAAAGAUUAACUGACACAACUAUUAAAAACACAUCAGGGAUUUGGUACGGGGGGGUGAAUGAAUGUUUACAGGUGAAUUAAUCAUUCACCACAAGAUCAGAAAUAAAAUACAUGGGAUUGCUUUUAACCUCAUGCUGACUUUUCAGGGAUACUUUUCUUUCUUUCAUCUUCAGAACAAAAACCGAUAUAAAAAAUCCAUUUAAACACUGAUAAGCACACAAACACACACACACACACACACACACACACACACACACACACACGUUUCUGUUCAACCGAGUUAUUGUGUGUGCUCAGGAUAAAAUGCCUGGUUAAUGUGUAUUACAUUGAUGUCUUUACGUGCAUUUCGAAGCUUUUCAAUUUGGUAGCACUGACUUUCAAUGGAUGCAUAAAAAUGAUUACAUUAAAAAUAUGUUCAUGUUCUGAAUAUAAUUAAAGUCUUAAGAUUGGAAUGACAUAAGGGCAUUAAAGCGGCUUUCUACCAGAAUAUAGAUAGAUAGAUAGAUAUAUAUAUAUAUUUGCAAUUCAGACAGAACUUUUCACAGAACUGCAAGAAUGAUAUAUAAAAGCAGAAUUACAAGAUAAAGUGAGAUUUACAAGUACAAUACAAAUGCUGAAUUAUGAGAUAUAGAUGCACAAUUAUUAGAUAUAAAAAACUACAAGCUCAAGUUCUGAAUUGUGAAUGCAAGAAUCGCUUGAUACACAUAAUUAUGAGAUGCAAAGAAAAGUCUGAAAAGAUUUUGAGUCAUGAGUGAAAAAUUCUGAGAUAUAAAAGUAAAAUUGCAAGCUAGAAAUGCAGAGCUGCGAGAUCUUAAAAGCAGAAUUAUGAGAUAUAAACAGAAUUGCAAGCUAAAAUUGUGAGAAAUUAGAGUUGUGAGAUAAUGUAUGGUCAUUUUUUAACUAAAUCUGUCUGUAUAAUAAAUAUCCAUUUCUUUCUUUAUUCCCAUCUGAUACAAUGACAUAUGAAGUGUACAUACUCACAGUGGCCAAUGUGUGCAUGCAUG
Molecule: long non-coding RNA, 1782 nt
Organism: Puntigrus tetrazona (Sumatra barb)
Lineage: Eukaryota; Metazoa; Chordata; Actinopteri; Cypriniformes; Cyprinidae
Exons: 3
Source: RefSeq, a predicted model, not a curated record